Molecule: long non-coding RNA, 1531 nt
Filed under: Equus asinus (donkey)
Lineage: Eukaryota; Metazoa; Chordata; Mammalia; Perissodactyla; Equidae
Description: lncRNA (ENSEASG00005026090.1)
Source: RNAcentral
GUCAAAUGCACACAGAUCCUGUCUCAAGGAUGUGGAGAUAGGACUUGCCUUUUUAGUUGUUGCAGAGGCAGGCAAGGUUGGAAUUUUUAAAGAUUGUUUUCACCAACUGGAGGAAAAACUAGCAAUACAAGUAAGAAAUCUUUCUGCAGUUUUAAAAUUCUCCCUGGUGGGGCCCAGGGACAGGCUUCUCUGUGACAUGGCAAUUUGUGUGGCCAGGAGACAGCAGGUAUGGUUCCAGAGAAGUCCAUCUGGAUUGAUGUAAAAUACCAGGUCCUGGUAGAGGCAGGGAAGGGCAAACAAAGAGAAUGAUCCAGCUCCCUGAGGGUGUUGGAUGGAGCCAGGGGUGAUUGGAAGGGCCAAGAUAAGGGGUCAGGUUCACAGGGCUUCCCCAGGCCCUGGGAAGAAAUAAGUGCAAGCCAGGAACUCUCUUCCUUUCUUUUUUUUCAAGAAUUCCCAGCCGAUGGGACUAGGGUUUUCCCUAGACACACUGGGGCAGGGGUUUAGGGCUACAGAUGAAUCCUGGACCUGCCCAUUGGUGGGUAUGGUACUCCUCAUUUAUGUCACAGUUGGCACCUCUCUCAUGGAGUCGAGGACCCCAUGACUUGGCAGUGCUGAAACACAGGCUAAAGGCUUUCACCACCUGCAGCUAGAGCCAUGGUUGGAGCAGGAGGAGUCAGCAACUGAUGCUGGAUCCAAAGACCAACAUCCCACCCUCAGGUUCAAGCAAGCCCUUUGAGUUGAGGAGGCUGGGAAGAAAAUCCUCCCAGGGCUGAGCUUCACUCCAGGGACUCUCUGAAGGUUAGGUGUUGAGAAGGCUAAUUAGACCUCUCUGAUCAGAAGCUGAGGCAGAGCACUCAUGGGGAACGCUCGGGCCUCAGGUCUCCUAGGCAUACUUCAUAUCUGUCAGGUACGGGGUGCUAGUCAGCCUCAGAUGGAUUCACUGGAAUUCUACCCUGCAACCUCAAGAAUGCAAAGACUUGGCACUCAUUCUCAGCAUUCUCAAGACAUGCUUAAUCAUGGGUGAUAGCUGCUUCAGAAGUGACACAAGCUCUGGUGGGAUGGAAGUUCUAGGGAGAAGGAUGACUACCCUUAAGAUGGCUGAGAUAGAAUGUUUUCCCCCUGAAGUGACUGGGAGCUCAGAAUGAGAGAGAAGGAGAGAGAGAGAGAGAAGGGGAAGGAGAAGAAAGAAGAAAGAGAAGAAUGAAGAGAACAGUGAUGACCAUGGCAGUGGCAGUGACUCUUAACUAAGUGUUGAAUAAGUGUUGAUGAUGAUGUUAUUGGAUGAUCUUUAUUUUCUUCUUUAAAUUUUCUACAAUUAAUAUUCAGUACAUUUGAAUAUGAAAAAUAAUAGAAGUUAUUUUUAAAUGGAAGAAAAUUGUGAUUUUUUUCCAAAGAAAAUACUAUAUGGCCGUUUUUAAUUUUUAUUUUUACAAUGGUAUCUUGUCCCUGACUAGAAUUGUGCAUAUCGUCACAAACCGUGAUUGACGUUUGAAGCCUUCUGGUUUGCCCGGUCAGUUGCAGUACGGUUAUG